Pseudophryne corroboree (corroboree frog) is the source of this 623-nucleotide long non-coding RNA. RefSeq lists it as uncharacterized. The transcript has 2 exons. NCBI's taxonomy places the organism in Eukaryota, Metazoa, Chordata, Amphibia, Anura, Myobatrachidae. The record is from RefSeq and is a predicted model, not a curated record.
UUCCCAGUCCCCCUCAGCUUCCCAGUCCCCCUCAGCUUCCCAGUCCCCCUCAGCUUCCCAGGCCCACUCCACUUUCCACUCCCCUUCUCACCCCACCUCUCCAUCUCUUUCUGUGACCCCUUCUCCUCCUUCCCAUACCCCUUCUCCUUCAACUUCAAACUCACUUUCUCAGCCCCCCUCACCCUCUAUUGGCUUAACUUUCUCUCCGCCCCCCUCGCCCUCUCAAUCAGACCCACCCUCUGAAAUUACAUCCCCAAUCCAGCCUCCUUCCCCCAUCCAGCCUCCUUCCCCCAUCCCUCCUCCUUCCCCAAUCCCUCCUCCUUCCCCAAUCCCUCCUCCUUCCCCCAUCCAGCCGCCUUCCCCCAUCCAGCCGCCUUCCCCACCCAGUGAGUGGGCAGAAGAAGCCCCUGAUGAAAUAUCUGGCAACCAUCAUGUUGCAGAGGAAAAUGUUGCCGUUGGAGAUCCCACAUCUUUUGCGGCCAUUCUUGGGGACAUGAGGCUACAUCUACAGGCCUUGCUGGGUCUUGUUGACCAGAUGCAAACCUUGUUUUAAUUUUUGUUUAAAAAUCAAAAAUAAUUUAUGUUUAUAUUAUAAAAAAAAUAAUAAAAAAAAAAAAACUCAA